CGUAACAAGGUCUCCGUUGGUGAACCAGCGGAGGGAUCAUUACAGAGUUGCAAAACUCCCACAAACCAUCGCGAAUCUUACCCGUACGGUUGCCUCGGCGCUGGCGGUCCUUCGGGACCCUCGGGCCUCCCGCUCGCGGGGGGCUGCCCGCCGGAGUGCCGAAACCAAACUCUUGAUAUUUUAUGUCUCUCUGAGUAAACUUUUAAAUAAGUCAAAACUUUCAACAACGGAUCUCUUGGUUCUGGCAUCGAUGAAGAACGCAGCGAAAUGCGAUAAGUAAUGUGAAUUGCAGAAUUCAGUGAAUCAUCGAAUCUUUGAACGCACAUUGCGCUCGCCAGUAUUCUGGCGAGCAUGCCUGUUCGAGCGUCAUUUCAACCAUCAAGCUCUGCUUGCGUUGGGGAUCCGCGGCUGCCCGCGGUCCCUCAAAAACAGUGGCGGGCUCGCUAGUCACACCGAGCGUAGUAACUCUACAUCGCUAUGGUCGUGCGGCGGGUUCUUGCCGUAAAACCCCCCAAUUUCUAAGGUUGACCUCGGAUCAGGUAGGAAUACCCGCUGAACUUAAGCAUAUCAAUA
RNAcentral lists this ribosomal RNA (573 nucleotides) under Neurospora calospora. RNAcentral describes it as "eukaryotic LSU rRNA". The stretch from base 216 to 369 matches the Rfam family "5.8S ribosomal RNA". The record is from RNAcentral. Lineage: Eukaryota; Fungi; Ascomycota; Sordariomycetes; Sordariales; Sordariaceae.